RNAcentral lists this ribosomal RNA (253 nucleotides) under uncultured bacterium. Its description in RNAcentral is "partial 16S ribosomal RNA". It matches the Rfam family "Bacterial small subunit ribosomal RNA", at positions 524 to 776 of the family's 1533-position model. The record is from RNAcentral.
UACGUAGGUGGCAAGCGUUGUCCGGAUUUACUGGGCGUAAAGGGCGUGCAGGCGGUCUGUUAAGUGCAGGGUGAAAGCUCCCGGCUCAACUGGGAGAGGUCCUUGCAUACUGGCGGACUUGAGGGGGGUAGAGGAAAGUGGAAUUCCCGGUGUAGUGGUGAUAUGCGUAGAUAUCGGGAGGAACACCUGUGGCGAAGGCGGCUUUCUGGGCCCUACCUGACGCUGAGACACGAAAGCGUGGGGAGCGAACCGG